RNAcentral lists this long non-coding RNA (218 nucleotides) under Homo sapiens (human). RNAcentral's name for it is "lncAB311.1". The record is from RNAcentral. Lineage: Eukaryota; Metazoa; Chordata; Mammalia; Primates; Hominidae.
GGGGAAGGUUAGGAAGGAGGCAAUGAUCCAAUGAAUAUAGAAGAACUGGCCGAUUCACAGGAAACUUGCUUUGGAUAAGGUGAGUCAAUGGGUGAUAUUGUGCAGGCAGGGAGGGAAAUUUCUUUGUACAAAUUCAUGUCCCUGGCCAGGCAUGGCCCAGGAGUUCAAGACCAGCCUGGGAAACAGAGUGAAACUCCAUCUCUACUUAAAAAAAAAAA